This 3278-nucleotide unclassified non-coding RNA is filed under the name Pomacea canaliculata. Its description in RNAcentral is "glycerol-3-phosphate dehydrogenase, mitochondrial- like, transcript variant X5". The record is from RNAcentral. Lineage: Eukaryota; Metazoa; Mollusca; Gastropoda; Architaenioglossa; Ampullariidae.
UCCAUUCAAUUAACUUCUCGUCCUAAGCGAGACAUCAGCAAGGUCACGAGAAAGUUUGUCCGGUUAACCGAAGAAGCUUCCGGUGCACAACACCGGCCUGGUCACACCUUUGCAAUAACAUCGUUGCAGAGGAUGAGUUGACAUCAGAACAGACCAGGAAUAAACGACACUCAUCAUCAUGCCACCAAGAAUUAAACUUCGAACCUUAAAGAAGGUUUUAUAUGUUGGUGCUGCAGUGGGGGGCAGCUUGUUGCUGACUGCUGGUGUUUACCCAGAAAUUGCAUCACGAUCCCAGUCAUUUUCAAGUACCUAUAACACAAUAAGUAGAAAGCUUGGAUUUUGUGUUAUUGAAGAAGAUCAGGGGGAUACAAUAAAGGCAGCAGAAGAUGAACUUAGGCUGAUGAACAAACCCUUACCUCCAAGACAAGAAAUUCUCAAUUCAUUACGUGAUGAGGAAUUCGACAUACUUGUCAUUGGAGGUGGUGCCACAGGCACUGGAGUGGCCCUGGAUGCUGUGACAAGGGGUCUUAAGACUGGACUAGUGGAAAAAUUUGACUUUGGAUCUGGCACUAGCAGUCGCAGUACAAAACUUAUCCAUGGUGGUGUUAGAUACUUGCAGAAGGCUAUCUUCAACCUGGAUUUGGAACAGUAUCGCAUGGUGAAAGAAGCAUUGGCAGAGCGAUCUAAUCUCGUUAAUAUAGCUCCUCAUCUGGCAGUUCCAUUACCCAUCAUGCUGCCUGUUUAUAAAUGGUGGCAGGUACCCUACUUUUGGUUUGGAAUCAAAAUGUAUGAUGUAGUGUCUGGAGGACAAGUGCUUAAGCCAUCAUAUUUCCUCACCAAGGCAAAGGCGCUUGAAUUUUUUCCCAUGUUGAAAAAGGAUAAGCUAAUGGGAGCUAUUGUUUACUAUGAUGGCCAGCAUAAUGAUGCGAGGAUGAAUGUGUCCUUAGCUGUAACAGCUGUACGACAUGGAGCUUCUGCCGCGAACUAUGUAGAGGUCCUUAAACUUCUCAAAGAGGAAAUUGAUGGCAGAGAAGUUGUGUGUGGUGCAAGAGUCAAGGACACUUUGACUGACGAAGAGUGGGAUGUAAAAGCCAAGUGUGUGAUUAAUGCCACUGGGCCUUACACAGAUCGAAUUCGCAUGAUGGCAGAUGAGUGUACCCCCAAGAUCUGCCAGCCUAGCUCUGGAGUUCAUGUGGUGCUUCCAGAUUACUACAGUCCAGAAAACAUGGGCUUGCUGGAUCCAGCCACUAGUGAUGGUCGAGUGAUCUUUUUCUUACCAUGGCAGAAAGUAACGGUAGCAGGAACAACUGACACUCCCUGCCAGGUAACAGACUAUCCCCAGCCCACUGAGUCUGAGAUUCAGUUCAUUCUAAAUGAAAUUAAAAACUACCUUAGUUCUGAUAUUGAAGUUCGUCGUGGUGAUGUGCUGUCAGCUUGGAGUGGUAUUCGUCCUUUAGUGAUAGACCCUUCCAAAUCUGAUACCCAGUCAAUAGCCCGAAAUCAUGUCAUUGAGGUUUCUCCAAGCCGCUUGAUCACUAUUGCUGGCGGCAAAUGGACCACGUACAGGCAUAUGGCAGAAGAAACAGUGGACCGGGCUGUAAAGGUGUGCAAGCUCAAGCCCACAUGUGCCUGCCGUACAAAGGGGCUGUUAUUGGAUGGGGCUCAUGGAUGGUCACCCACUCUCUUCAUUCGCCUUGUGCAGGACUUUGGACUUGAAAAUCAGGUAGCCCAGCAUCUUGCCAACACAUAUGGGGAUAAAGCUAUCAUGGUAGCUAAGCUGUCAAAUCUAACAGGCAAGUGCUGGCCAGUUGUGGGCAGACGACUUCAUGAGGAGUUUCCAUACAUUGAAGGAGAGGUGAAAUAUGCAGUUCGAGAGUAUGCUUGCAGAGCAAUUGAUAUAAUUGCACGAAGAACAAGACUGGCAUUCUGCAAUGUUCAUGCAACUCAGGAGGCAUUGCCAAAAAUUAUAGAUAUCAUGGCCCAGGAGUUAGGAUGGGAUGAAACCAGAAAAAAGGAUGAAUAUUGCAGAGCUGACACCUUUUUGCGACGAGAGAUGGGCCUGGAUAUCAAACAUAGCAUGUGCACCCAGCAACAGCUUAACUUCACUAAGGAAGAAAUUAACCAAUAUGUGAAGCGUUUCAAGUCUCUAGAUUUUGACAACAAAGGCUUCAUCACUAUUAAUGACUUGAGAAGCUAUUUUGAGAAAGUGGGAGAGUGUGUGUCAGAAGACCAGAUGCAUGAAAUCCUCAAUGAGGUGGAUCUCAAUCGCAAUGCUCAAGUUGACCUAGGAGAAUUCUUGCAGCUUCUGAGUGCAUUGAAAAAACGUGCUGAUGAAGAGAAACCAGAAGGAUGCCUGCACAUGCUAUCAUGUUUUCUUAGAACUGAACGAUGAACCACCAGAAGAUUUAGACUGUAUAUAUCCUCCAAAGAAAAGUGGUUGUGGUGCUCCUGAACCUUAUGUUGCUCCUGUUAAUGUUCCUCCUCCUCCUAAACCCAUGAAAUAUGUUAAGCCCCCUGGUAAGAGAAAUCGGCAUCCAGACUCCUGACUGUGAAAGCGCAAAUGUUUUUUUAACGUGAAUAAACACAGCAAAUUUCGCUAACUUGGUUGCUUCCUGGCACCCUUUUCAACCGAAAAAAGGAAAGAACUAAAAAAAGGAAAAAAAGCCAUUGGUGUUUAGUACCCCUGCUCGAUUCUGACAAUCCUGGCAGCUGAGGUUCUUUGAUAGAAAGUAGUCUAAGUACUAUUUAGAAUGUGUUCUCAGAAGCCAGACUCACAAGUUUCAGGCCUAGAAUACUUUUAAGUACUCUCUUUCAUGCAUCAAUAUAAUUUUUCAAAGAGUUGCUUUGUAUGCAAUAUACAAUGCUCCAAUUUCCAGAAAAAAAAAGGAAUAUGUAUAUUGGCAUUAGACUUGCACUGCUAGUGAGGGCAUCCCACUUACCAUCCCACUUUCUGAAAUGAGAUAGGAAGGGCGUUCCUCUACCUAAAGAUGCUGAUCCAUCUUGCCCUCCCAACCUUCUACCCAUCCCUUUUUAAAGAUAUGCCAGAACACUUAGUAAAUGAAUCACCACUUCAAUCUGAAAAUAUUGCACUACAUGGAGUAGAAAACACCCGGACAUGAAAGUGAAGAUGGGAUCAAAUCUGAUGAAUGCUUUGAAGAUGGGAACCGUCAGCAACUCUCGGCUGGCCAUGGCCGCACGGUUUAGUGUAGAACGAGAGGGCAAGACUCAACCAAUCCCAGUGGAGCGCAGUGGUGGUGGCGUGUGAUACACCUCUUACA